Salmo salar (Atlantic salmon) is the source of this 74-nucleotide non-coding RNA. The record is from Rfam. Lineage: Eukaryota; Metazoa; Chordata; Actinopteri; Salmoniformes; Salmonidae.
GGUUCUGUGGCUUAGUUGGUUAAAGCACCUGUCUGGCAAACAGGAGUUCCUGAGUUCAAAUCACAGCAGAACCU